UCAUUGUCAUUGUCAAAGCAAGUAAACAUGCAAAGCAAGGCAAAUAUAAGUACGAGUAUAUUUUGGACGGAGUCGGAUAAGAUACGGAUCGCGGCCAAAGACUUGGCUCAGUUGAGAACCCAGUUCUGGGCCAGGAAGAUGCAAAUAGACGUGCAAGUGGAAGUUAAAAGGCCGCCGCGAAAAAACAAGAUUCGAGAAACGCGCCACAGAGUUUUCCCCUCGACCGCCAGCCAAUAAUCACAAUAAUCAUGGUAAGCGGGCAGUCAGUCAGGCCAAAACAGGUUGCCGGCGGAUGCCCAGACUGCAGACUGCUACAGACUCGGAUUUUUGGGAUGCCGAACGAAAGUGAAAACAUUCACCUCGCCACCAAGAGCACCAAGAGCAGCAAGAAGCCAAGAGGAGCUGGGGACGGAGACUAGCGUCCGAAAUAAAGAUUGAAUUUAAAUAA
Long non-coding RNA from Drosophila erecta, 448 nucleotides. RefSeq lists it as uncharacterized. The record is from RefSeq and is a predicted model, not a curated record. The transcript is spliced from 2 exons. Lineage: Eukaryota; Metazoa; Arthropoda; Insecta; Diptera; Drosophilidae.